AUGGAGGCCAGACGACAGUGUCACCGCGUGUCGCCCCUGCUGCUGGUGCUGCUGGCGGUGGUGAUCACGGCCGGGCGCUGCGGCGCGCAGGUGCCGGUCCCGGCGAGGACGGACGGGUUCGUGUACGGUGGGCAGGCGUGGGCGCCGGCGUGGGGCGAGGCGGUGGUCGUCGAGGCCUUCUUCGACCCGCUCUGUCCCGACAGCCGCGACGCCUGGCCGCCGCUGCGGAGGGCCGCCGACCACUUCGGCGCCCGCCGCGUCGCCGUCGUCGUCCACCUCUUCCCGCUCCCUUACCACAGCAGCUCCUUCAUUGCUUGCCGGUCGAUCCACGCGGUGCACAAGCUAAAUGCGUCAGCUGCGUAUCCCCUGCUCGAAAAGUUCUUCAAAUACCAGGAGGGUUAUUACAACACGCCGACAUACACCAAAACAAGAGCGGCGGUGGUCGCCAAAAUAGCAAACAACCUUGUCGCCCCCGUCAUCGGCGAAGCCAAUUUGGCUGCAUACAGAGCGGGCUUCAACGACUCGCGGUCGGAUCAGGCCGCAAGGAUUUCCUUCAAGUUUGGUUGUGCACGAGGUGUCACCGGGACACCCUACUACUUUGUUAAUGGCAUACCACUCGUCGACCUUGAUUUUCCUCUGGACUAUGACAAGUGGGUAUCCACACUUGAUCCGCUGGUUGGCAAGAUGUAG
RNAcentral lists this ribosomal RNA (690 nucleotides) under Triticum aestivum (bread wheat). RNAcentral's name for it is "partial small subunit ribosomal RNA". The record is from RNAcentral. Lineage: Eukaryota; Viridiplantae; Streptophyta; Magnoliopsida; Poales; Poaceae.